This 253-nucleotide ribosomal RNA is filed under the name uncultured bacterium. RNAcentral describes it as "partial 16S ribosomal RNA". It matches the Rfam family "Bacterial small subunit ribosomal RNA", at positions 524 to 776 of the family's 1533-position model. The record is from RNAcentral.
UACGGGGGGGGCAAGCGUUGUUCGGAAUUACUGGGCGUAAAGGGCUCGUAGGCGGCCAACUAAGUCAGACGUGAAAUCCCUCGGCUUAACCGGGGAACUGCGUCUGAUACUGGAUGGCUUGAGAUUGGGAGAGGGAUGCGGAAUUCCAGGUGUAGCGGUGAAAUGCGUAGAUAUCGGGAGGAACACCAGUGGCGAAGGCGGCUGCCUGGACCUUUGCUGACGCUGAGGCGCGAAAGCGUGGGGAGCGAUCCGG